Molecule: ribosomal RNA, 491 nt
Filed under: uncultured bacterium
Lineage: Bacteria
Description: partial 16S ribosomal RNA
Rfam family: Bacterial small subunit ribosomal RNA
Source: RNAcentral
AGUGAACGCUGGCGGUAGGCCUAACACAUGCAAGUCGAACGGCAGCACAGUAAGAGCUUGCUCUUACGGGUGGCGAGUGGCGGACGGGUGAGGAAUACAUCGGAAUCUACUUUUUCGUGGGGGAUAACGUAGGGAAACUUACGCUAAUACCGCAUACGACCUACGGGUGAAAGCAGGGGAUCUUCGGACCUUGCGCGAUUGAAUGAGCCGAUGUCGGAUUAGCUAGUUGGCGGGGUAAAGGCCCACCAAGGCGACGAUCCGUAGCUGGUCUGAGAGGAUGAACAGACACACUGAAACGGAGAAACGGUCCAGACUCCUAGGGGAGGCAGAAGUGGGGAAUUUUGGAAAAGGGGAGCAAGCCUAAUCCAGCCAAACCGGGUGGGGGAAGAAGGCCUUCGGGUUGUAAAGCCCUUUUGUGGGGAAAAAAAAGCAGCAGGUUAAUACCCCGCUGUUCUGACGGUACCAAAAAAAUAAGCACCGGCUAACUUCGU